UGGACCAAUGAUGACAGCCGGUGGCGUAUGAGUCCUACACGAUGACUGCUACGUGUCUGGAAGUCUGAGGUCCAU
Small nucleolar RNA from Suricata suricatta (meerkat), 75 nucleotides. Lineage: Eukaryota; Metazoa; Chordata; Mammalia; Carnivora; Herpestidae. The record is from Ensembl.